Molecule: ribosomal RNA, 835 nt
Filed under: uncultured bacterium
Lineage: Bacteria
Description: bacterial SSU rRNA
Rfam family: Bacterial small subunit ribosomal RNA
Source: RNAcentral
AGAGUUUGAUCCUGGCUCAGGAUGAACGCUGGCGGCGUGCCUAACACAUGCAAGUCGAACGGAGUUCUUAAGGAAUGCGACUUCGGUCAAAUGACUUUUGAACUUAGUGGCGGACGGGUGAGUAACGCGUGAGCAACCUGCCUUUCAGAGGGGGAUAACAUUUGGAAACAGAUGCUAAUACCGCAUAAGAUUACAGUACCGCAUGAUACAGUGAUCAAAGGAGCAAUCCGCUGAAAGAUGGGCUCGCGUCCGAUUAGAUAGUUGGUGAGGUAACGGCUCACCAAGUCGACGAUCGGUAGCCGGACUGAGAGGCUGAACGGCCACAUUGGGACUGAGACACGGCCCAGACUCCUACGGGAGGCAGCAGUGGGGAAUAUUGCACAAUGGGCGAAAGCCUGAUGCAGCAACGCCGCGUGAGGGAAGACGGUUUUCGGAUUGUAAACCUCUGUUUUCGGUGACGAAUAAAUGACGGUAACCGAGUAGGAAGCCACGGCUAACUACGUGCCAGCAGCCGCGGUAAUACGUAGGUGGCAAGCGUUAUCCGGAAUUACUGGGUGUAAAGGGAGCGCAGGCGGGAUAGCAAGUCAGCUGUGAAAACUAUGGGCUCAACCCAUAAACUGCAGUUGAAACUGUUAUUCUUGAGUGGAGUAGAGGCAAGCGGAAUUCCGAGUGUAGCGGUGAAAUGCGUAGAUAUUCGGAGGAACACCAGUGGCGAAGGCGGCUUGCUGGGCUCUAACUGACGCUGAGGCUCGAAAGUGUGGGGAGCAAACAGGAUUAGAUACCCUGGUAGUCCACACUGUAAACGAUGAUUGCUAGGUGUGGGGGGUCUGACCCC